AUGGUGGUGCUGGAGGUGGUGAGUUUCUGGGAAUUUGAGGUGGGGCCAUCUGAGGGAUGGGGAGGCUCUGCUGUAACUAAAUUUCUGGUUCGAACAAGUUUCUUCAGUGGUGGUAGUGGUACAACUCCUAGUUGUACAACACCUAGAAGAGCAAGAGCAAGAGCAAGAGCAAAGAGAAACAGAAACAGAAACAGAAACAGAAACAGGGGAGGAAGGUUUAUUGGGUAGCUUCUUUAUGGAGGAGUUGGAGAUUUGCUGCUGCAAUGGUGCUGCUGAAGCAAUAGUAGCGUUAGUUGGCAAUCCUGCGCAGGCUGCCAUAUUCCCUCCCCGGCAAUCCAAACACCAAACCAAUCUUCCUGCUGCCUGCAAUGGGAUUUCAGUAUUUACUUCCUGCUGCAAUGGUUUUUUAUCCGGAGUGCCCCUGUAGUCAUUUAAAUUGGCGAU
RNAcentral lists this long non-coding RNA (444 nucleotides) under Coffea arabica (coffee). Its description in RNAcentral is "long non-coding RNA (CARA_LNC007323)". The record is from RNAcentral. Lineage: Eukaryota; Viridiplantae; Streptophyta; Magnoliopsida; Gentianales; Rubiaceae.